Molecule: transfer RNA, 65 nt
Filed under: Lachesilla pedicularia
Lineage: Eukaryota; Metazoa; Arthropoda; Insecta; Psocodea; Lachesillidae
Description: tRNA-Tyr
Source: RNAcentral
AAUGGAAUGGCUGAUAAAAGUAAUAAAUUGUAAAUUUAUAAAUGAUUAAAUUUAAUCUUCCAUUA